RNAcentral lists this long non-coding RNA (1204 nucleotides) under Astyanax mexicanus (Mexican tetra). RNAcentral describes it as "lncRNA (ENSAMXG00005009119.1)". The record is from RNAcentral. Lineage: Eukaryota; Metazoa; Chordata; Actinopteri; Characiformes; Acestrorhamphidae.
GAUAUAACUGUCUUCUGAUAUCUUUAUUUACCUGUUUUCUUGUUUCUCCACAUCACAUUUCCAGACUGCAGGCAUUCAGAGGAGAAUCUCCAGAGCCCAGCUGUGUGUCUAUGAUUAGCUAUCAUUCCAUGGAGCAGCCUCUUUAUUUCAGUAAUGAAAGAAGCAGCACUGAUCUGAGAAAUACAUUCAGAGCAGAAUCUCCAGAGCUCAGCUGUGUGUCUAUUAAGAGCAACCACUCGAUGCAGCAGCCUCUUAGUUUCAGUCAUGAAAGAAGCAGCACUGAGCCAAGACUGCAGACAUUUAGAGCAGAGCCUCCAGAGUCCAGCUGUGUGUCUAUGAAGAGCAACCAUUCCAUGGAGCAGCCUCUUUAUUUCAGUAAUGAAAGAAGCAGCUCUGAUCUGAGACUGCAGACAUUCAGAGCAGAACCUCCAGAGCCCAGCUGUGUGUCUUUGAGGAGCAACCACUCGAUGCAGCAGCCUUACAAUUUCAGUAAUGAUAAAUUUACCACUGAGCUGAGACUGCAGACAUUCAGAGCAGAACCUCCAGAGCCCAGCUUUGUGUCUAUGAGGAGCAACCACUCGAUGCAGCAGCCUUACAAUUUCAGUAACAAAAAGCUGAGACUGCAGACAUCCGGAGCAGAACCUCCAGAGCCCAGCUGUGUGUCUAUGAGGAGCAACCAUUCGAUGCAGCAGCCUUACAACUUCAGUAACAUCAAAUGUACCACUGAGCUGAGACAGACAUUAAGAGUAGAACCUCCAGAACCCAGCUGUGUGUCUAUGAGGAGCAACCACUCGAUGCAGCAGCCUUUUAAUUUCAGUAACGAAAGAAGCAGCACUGAGCCGAGAGCAGAACCUCCAGAGCCCAGCUGUGUGUCUUUGAGGAGCAACCACUCGAUGCAGCAGCCUUACAAUUUCAGUAACAACAAAUGUAUCACUGAGCUGAGGUGAGAAACCAGCAUGGGAUGAGAGUGAGUUUAAACAGGGUGUUUUUUGUAGUAAGUCUGUUUUUUUCUUUUUUUUGGUCAUCUCCAAUGAAAAGUACUUUUUAACACUACAUUUUUUCUACCUUCCAGUAAAAAAAAAUCAGGCUGCACAGAAUAUUGUUUAAGCAUUGUCAUCACACAGCAUUCAUGUGAAAUAAUCUUUACAGUACAUUGCAGUAUGUGUGACGCCACGUGAAGCAAAUAAAUAAAAAAUGUUACUCA